UAGGGAAUUUUCGUCAAUGGGGGAAGCCCUGAACGAGCAAUGCCGCGUGUGUGAAGAAGGUCUUCGGAUCGUAAAGCACUGUUGUAAGUGAAGAAUGCCAUAUAGAGGAAAUGCUAUGUGGGUGACGGUAGCUUACCAGAAAGCCACGGCUAACUACGUGCCAGCAGCCGCGGUAAUACGUAGGUGGCAAGCGUUAUCCGGAAUCAUUGGGCGUAAAGGGUGCGUAGGUGGCACGAUAAGUCUGAAGUAAAAGGCAACAGCUCAACUGUUGUAUGCUUUGGAAACUGUCGAGCUAGAGUGCAGAAGAGGGCGAUGGAAUUCCAUGUGUAGCGGUGAAAUGCGUAGAGAUAUGGAGGAACACCAGUGGCGAAGGCGGCUUCCUGGUCUGCAACUGACACUGAGGCGCGAAAGCGUGGGGGAGCAAACAGGAUUAGAUACC
Molecule: ribosomal RNA, 439 nt
Filed under: uncultured bacterium
Lineage: Bacteria
Description: bacterial SSU rRNA
Rfam family: Bacterial small subunit ribosomal RNA
Source: RNAcentral